UACGGAGGGUGCAAGCGUUAAUCGGAAUUACUGGGCGUAAAGCGCACGCAGGUGGCUGAGUCAGUCGAUUGUGAAAGCCCUGGGCUUAACCUGGGAAUUGCAGUCGAUACUACUCAGCUAGAGUAUGGGAGAGGGCAGUGGAAUUCCCGGUGUAGCGGUGAAAUGCGUAGAUAUCGGGAGGAACAUCAGUGGCGAAGGCGGCGAUCUGGGAAGAUACUGACGCUGAGGUGCGAAAGCGUGGGGAGCAAACAGG
RNAcentral lists this ribosomal RNA (253 nucleotides) under uncultured bacterium. RNAcentral describes it as "partial 16S ribosomal RNA". It matches the Rfam family "Bacterial small subunit ribosomal RNA", at positions 524 to 776 of the family's 1533-position model. The record is from RNAcentral.